UAAGGGCGCACGGUGGAUGCCUUGGCACUAGAAGCCGAUGAAGGACGUUACUAACGACGAUAUGCUUUGGGGAGCUGUAAGUAAGCUUUGAUCCAGAGAUUUCCGAAUGGGGAAACCCAGCAUGAGUUAUGUCAUGUUAUCGAUAUGUGAAUACAUAGCAUAUCAGAAGGCACACCCGGAGAACUGAAACAUCUUAGUACCCGGAGGAAGAGAAAGAAAAUUCGAUUCCCUUAGUAGCGGCGAGCGAAACGGGAAGAGCCCAAACCAACAAGCUUGCUUGUUGGGGUUGUAGGACACUCUAUACGGAGUUACAAAGGACGACAUUAGACGAAUCAUCUGGAAAGAUGAAUCAAAGAAGGUAAUAAUCCUGUAGUCGAAAAUGUUGUCUCUCUUGAGUGGAUCCUGAGUACGACGGAGCACGUGAAAUUCCGUCGGAAUCUGGGAGGACCAUCUCCUAAGGCUAAAUACUCUCUAGUGACCGAUAGUGAACCAGUACCGUGAGGGAAAGGUGAAAAGCACCCCGGAAGGGGAGUGAAAUAGAACCUGAAACCGUGUGUUUACAAGUAGUCAGAGCCCGUUAAUGGGUGAUGGCGUGCCUUUUGUAGAAUGAACCGGCGAGUUACGAUUUGAUGCAAGGUUAAGCAGUAAAUGUGGAGCCGUAGCGAAAGCGAGUCUGAAUAGGGCGUUUAGUAUUUGGUCGUAGACCCGAAACCAGGUGAUCUACCCUUGGUCAGGUUGAAGUUCAGGUAACACUGAAUGGAGGACCGAACCGACUUACGUUGAAAAGUGAGCGGAUGAACUGAGGGUAGCGGAGAAAUUCCAAUCGAACCUGGAGAUAGCUGGUUCUCUCCGAAAUAGCUUUAGGGCUAGCCUCAAGUGAUGAUUAUUGGAGGUAGAGCACUGUUUGGACGAGGGGCCCCUCUCGGGUUACCGAAUUCAGACAA
Molecule: ribosomal RNA, 944 nt
Filed under: Staphylococcus aureus
Lineage: Bacteria; Bacillati; Bacillota; Bacilli; Caryophanales; Staphylococcaceae
Description: partial 23S ribosomal RNA
Rfam family: Bacterial large subunit ribosomal RNA
Source: RNAcentral